UACGGAAGGCAGCAGUGGGGAAUAUUGCACAAUGGGCGAAAGCCUGAUGCAGCUAUGCCGCGUGUAUGAAGAAGGCCUUAGGGUUGUAAAGUACUUUCAUCGGGGAGGAAAAAACAAAACUAAUAAUUUUAUUUCUUGACGUUACCCGAAAAAGAAGCACCGGCUAACUCCGUGCCAGCAGCCGCGGUAAUACGGAGGGUGCUAGCGUUAAUCAGAAUUACUGGGCGUAAAGAGCACGUAGGUGGUUUUUUUAAGUCAGAUGUGAAAUCCCUGGGCUUAACCUAGGAACUGCAUUUCGAAACUGAAAUACUAGAGUAUCGUAGAGGGAGGUAGAAUUCUAGGUGUAGCGGUGAAAUGCGUAGAUAUCUGGAGGAAUACCUGUGGCGAAAGCGGCCUCCUAAACGAAUACUGACACUGAGGUGCGAAAGCGUGGGGAGCGAAACAGGGAUUAGAU
RNAcentral lists this ribosomal RNA (454 nucleotides) under uncultured bacterium. RNAcentral's name for it is "bacterial SSU rRNA". It matches the Rfam family "Bacterial small subunit ribosomal RNA", at positions 340 to 783 of the family's 1533-position model. The record is from RNAcentral.